Long non-coding RNA from Coffea arabica (coffee), 1005 nucleotides. RefSeq lists it as uncharacterized. Lineage: Eukaryota; Viridiplantae; Streptophyta; Magnoliopsida; Gentianales; Rubiaceae. The record is from RefSeq and is a predicted model, not a curated record.
CAGCCCCAUCACCCAUACAUUCAGACAAAAACAAAAUUGGUGGGGAAACGAAGGAGACACGGUUCAGUCUCGUGCCACGUAGCGUGAAAAUGGGCUGGGUUUUUGCUGGUCUCGUAUGGUGGCCGUGUUUCUUGUUUUCUCAACUGGUUGGAUUCCGCUCCUCCUACAGCCUUAUAUUCCACUAUGUAUUAUUUUCUCAACCAUCGGGAGCUGUUUCUGAGACUACUGUUUUUGGCACUUUUUGAGUCCAUUGGGAGGAGAAGAGAUGCUGGUUCAAUUUUAAGCGAAAACCAAGCUUGGAAAUGCUCACGAAAAUCUCGUUUGCUGGCGCGCAUAAAAUUUCAUCUAGUACAGCUUUUCAGCCAAUGCCCAACGUCUUCAAAGUUCAAAGCACAUGACCUGGCUCUACUUUCUAGGUAACAAUUGCAAUUAUUUUUGAGUAAAUCUUAUAUACGCUGACACAGUGUAUGCACUGUUAUCGUUAGAUUCAUGAAAUUGAAUCUAACCAUAACAGUGUAUACACUAUCAGUGUAGGAAAAAAGACUAAUCCUUUGUAAUAUGAUAUACGCGAAUUUUUUAAAAAGAUAUCCUUAUACUAUAUAAGAAUGAGUUUGAGUCAAAGAAUGGCUUUGAAUUUCAACCGCAAAAGUAGGGGUAUUUUGGGAUUGUAAGGUUGUUUUGAGUGUAGUUAUAGUAUUGGGUACUACUUUAGAUAACAUGUGUAUUAUUCUGUUUACUGAAAUAUCCUUGUAUUCUAAAAGAUGCAGUGAUGAUUUGUUCAAAAGUUUGGGUAGUUUGAAAAUGUGAGAUUAUUUGGUCAUCUUUUCUACAAUGGGUACAACCCCAUAAUAGCUUCUUUAUUGGUGUAAUUACUUAAAUGUCCUUGCAGAGACAUUCAUUUUGGUUUGUGUCAAUUAUUACUGUUACUUUGCUAUCAUAACUUGACGAACUUCAAACGUCAUUUUCAUCUCAAUUAAAGCAAGGACAAUGUGGUUUAUUAAGGAA